Molecule: long non-coding RNA, 499 nt
Organism: Octopus sinensis (East Asian common octopus)
Lineage: Eukaryota; Metazoa; Mollusca; Cephalopoda; Octopoda; Octopodidae
Exons: 4
Source: RefSeq, a predicted model, not a curated record
GUCGACCUCAAUGAGAUGCAUACAGUUAACAGCACAGCACUACCUGCGAGAUCUUCUGUACCAAUGUAACCUGGCACAGCAUUGAAGCCACAACCGCUACACGACAUGUGUUCAACCGGCAUCUGCACUUGUGAUCCGAACAUCCUGUUACAGAACGAACUGCUAUUAUGUACUUUACUACGAACUAGUAAAUUAACUCCAUCUUGUCUGAAAUACUCUGAGAGACUUUUCCUAUGCGCUGUAUUUUGUUUUGCCCGCAUACACCUUGUUUGUACUUCUGUCGCACACACGAACACACAUAGUUAAUACACACACAAAUGCUAUCUCUGUCACAUUCAUACGCCACACAUGCCUUUCUCGUUUGUUUUCCAUGCUCAAUGUGCCCUUGUAAACACAACUCGUCUCUGUAAGACCCUAGGUCGGUCACGCAUACAUAGAGAAAGUUGUUUGUCCCUUACAACGCGCCAGCAUGCCACACUUUUGUUCCUGCACGACUGAG